Long non-coding RNA from Oxyura jamaicensis (ruddy duck), 1106 nucleotides. RefSeq lists it as uncharacterized. The record is from RefSeq and is a predicted model, not a curated record. The transcript has 3 exons. NCBI's taxonomy places the organism in Eukaryota, Metazoa, Chordata, Aves, Anseriformes, Anatidae.
AUCAGCGGUGGCGGAGCUCCUCCUGCUGGCUCCUCGGCAGCCCCAGCUGCAGCUUGCUCUGCUUCCCGCUGGCAUCUCGCUACUUCAUAGAUUUGCAGAUGCUGAGCUUGCCAGACCCAGCCUCGGAAUGUCCAUGGUCAGAUCUUGUGAACUUCAUUCUUACAAAAUACAUCAAGAAAUGCCAGGAUGCGUGCGCAUAACCAUAGACUGCACUUUCUAUGAGCAAACUUGUCAUCCAAAACCUGUGCUACAUAAUUAUUUAAAAAAUAUACGGUAGCAUUGCUCAGAUCUGAGAUGUUGCUCCUAAUUUUGGAGUUAACAACUGUUUGUGGGCUGUUUGUGGUACUCCUGUCUCAGGCAGGAAGCCGUGGGCCUGUGCCUUCUGCCACAGACUCUCUGCAGGCAUUUGGAGCUCAUUAAUGCCCUCGUGCCCCUGUGCCCUCCUCUGCUCACUGGCAUCUUGUUGUUGAUACUAAAUGAACCAAGAGAGCUGUCUUUAACCAGGUGGCUAAUGUGGGAGGAGGAUUUGCAGGAAUAAUACCUGGACUCCAAUUAAAAUUUACUUGAAAGCUUAUUAUAAACAUGUUCAGGAGAGGCUAUGUAUGUUAAUCUUUGAGAAAGCAGCUUAUUUGGAGGCAGCUAAAGACUGACUGGUGUUUCAGCUCUCUCCAGUACGCAAGCAAGCGUUCAUAAGUCGACUUACACUUGCAUUUCAGAGGAUUUUUUUUUCAGCUUCCCUUCACAGAGCCACAGGACAAGGAGGAGGAGACGUCUGAAAAUAGUGUCUUUAAGAAUAAUGGUGCAGAAAUAAAUGUACUCAGAAAAAUUAUGGAGGAGGUCUGUAUAAAUGUUGGGUGAGCACUUUCUUUCAUAGGGGAGAGGGAAAUCUGUGAAAGUGCUUUUAGAAAGAAGUGAGAUGGACAAUUUUCCUUUGGCUUUUCUGCAUGGGUUAUACUAUAUAAUUUAGAUUUGUAUUGAUGCAUUUCUGUGAUAUUUGGAAUGCUAUCCUCUUAAAAACGUUAUAUGUGAAAACACAUGGUUUUCAUAUAAAAAGGUGUGAUAGACUGAACAGGAGAAAACUAAACCAGAUCAUUGUGAAAGUUUGG